RNAcentral lists this ribosomal RNA (463 nucleotides) under uncultured bacterium. RNAcentral's name for it is "SSU rRNA". It matches the Rfam family "Bacterial small subunit ribosomal RNA", at positions 26 to 518 of the family's 1533-position model. The record is from RNAcentral.
AGGAUUAACGCUGGCGGCGUGCCUGACACAUGCAAGUCGAACGAGGCCGCAAGGCCGAGUGGCGGACGGGUGAGUAACACGUGACCAACCAACCUCGAAGUUGGGAAUAGCUCUGCGAAAGUAGGGGUAAUACCGAAUGUGGCCCAGGGCGGGCAUCCGCCUUGGUCUAAAGAUUCAUCGCUUCGAGACGGGGUCGCGGCCUAUUAGCUUGUUGGUGAGGUAACGGCUCACCAAGGCGAUGAUGGGUAGCUGGUCUGAGAGGACGACCAGCCACGCUGGGACUGAGACACGGCCCAGACUCCUACGGGAGGCAGCAGUGAGGAAUCUUCCGCAAUGGGCGAAAGCCUGACGGAGCAACGCCGCGUGUGGGAUGAAGACUCUAGGGUUGUAAACCACUGUCGGAGGGGACGAUCGUGACGGUACCCUCCAAGAAAGCCCCGGCUAACUACGUGCCAGCAGCCGC